ACUCCUACGGGAGGCAGCAGUGGGGAAUAUUGGACAAUGGGCGGAAGCCUGAUCCAGCAACGCCGCGUGAGGGAUGACGGCCUUCGGGUUGUAAACCUCUUUCAGUACCGACGAAGUUUUGUCUUUUUGGGCAAAGUGACGGUAGGUACAGAAGAAGCACCGGCCAACUACGUGCCAGCAGCCGCGGUAAUACGUAGGGUGCGAGCGUUGUCCGGAAUUAUUGGGCGUAAAGGGCUCGUAGGCGGUUUGUCGCGUCGGGAGUGAAAACGCCGUGCUUAACACGGCGCUUGCUUUC
This 295-nucleotide ribosomal RNA is filed under the name uncultured bacterium. Its description in RNAcentral is "partial 16S ribosomal RNA". It matches the Rfam family "Bacterial small subunit ribosomal RNA", at positions 335 to 628 of the family's 1533-position model. The record is from RNAcentral.